Anolis carolinensis (green anole) is the source of this 407-nucleotide long non-coding RNA. RefSeq lists it as uncharacterized. Lineage: Eukaryota; Metazoa; Chordata; Lepidosauria; Squamata; Anolidae. The transcript has 2 exons. The record is from RefSeq and is a predicted model, not a curated record.
CCAUUGUGAUAUCAUAUGGUCGCAACAGCUUAGCAUCCAAACAUUCCAGGAAAGAACAAUACAAAUGUCAUAAAGAAAAACAGUAUUUGUACAUUGUUUGAUGGCUUAAGUAACCUGAAAGCACUAGAUCCCAUCUGGCCUUCUAAGCUAAGCAGGGUCAGUCCUGAUUAGUAUUUGGAUGGGAGAUCGCCAAUGAAUACCAGGCUUUAUGGGUGUCAGGAAAUCCAUUUCUCAGCACGAAAUGAAUAACAGCAAAUAUUCCUUCCAUCUCUUGUGUUAGAAAACCCGUGCUGUCAUGUAGAAGAGGGGAUUUCUGCAAAUGUGCUUGUCAUGCAAGGAAUAACUACUGAGGUUUCUUUUUUUUUUCUACACAAAUGUUAAAUGAAAAGAAGCUUUAUCCUCCCUUA